AUUGAACGCUGGCGGCAUGCCUUACACAUGCAAGUCGAACGGCAGCACGGGUGCUUGCACCUGGUGGCGAGUGGCGAACGGGUGAGUAAUACAUCGGAACAUGUCCUGUAGUGGGGGAUAGCCCGGCGAAAGGCGGAUUAAUACAGCAAACGAUCUACGGAUGAGAGCGGGGGAACUGCGGGCCUCGCGCUAUAGGGUUGGCCGAUGGCUGAUUAGCUAGUUGGUGGGGUAAAGGCCUACCAAGGCGACGAUCAGUAGCUGGUCUGAGAGGACGACCAGCCACACUGGGACUGAGACACGGCCCAGACUCCUACGGGAGGCAGCAGUGGGGAAUUUUGGACAAUGGGCGAAAGCCUGAUCCAGCAAUGCCGCGUGUGUGAAGAAGGCCUUCGGGUUGUAAAGCACUUUUGUCCGGAAAGAAAUCCUUGGCCCUAAUACGGUCGGGGGAUGACGGUACCGGAAGAAUAAGCACCGGCUAACUACGUG
This 486-nucleotide ribosomal RNA is filed under the name uncultured bacterium. RNAcentral's name for it is "partial 16S ribosomal RNA". It matches the Rfam family "Bacterial small subunit ribosomal RNA", at positions 29 to 507 of the family's 1533-position model. The record is from RNAcentral.